This 425-nucleotide ribosomal RNA is filed under the name uncultured bacterium. RNAcentral describes it as "bacterial SSU rRNA". It matches the Rfam family "Bacterial small subunit ribosomal RNA", at positions 354 to 796 of the family's 1533-position model. The record is from RNAcentral.
GUGGGGAAUCUUGCGCAAUGGGCGAAAGCCUGACGCAGCCAUGCCGCGUGAAUGAUGAAGGUCUUAGGAUUGUAAAAUUCUUUCACCGGGGACGAUAAUGACGGUACCCGGAGAAGAAGCCCCGGCUAACUUCGUGCCAGCAGCCGCGGUAAUACGAAGGGGGCUAGCGUUGCUCGGAAUUACUGGGCGUAAAGGGCGCGUAGGCGGACAGUUUAGUCAGAGGUGAAAGCCCAGGGCUCAACCUUGGAAUUGCCUUUGAUACUGGCUGUCUUGAGUACGGGAGAGGUGAGUGGAACUCCGAGUGUAGAGGUGAAAUUCGUAGAUAUUCGGAAGAACACCAGUGGCGAAGGCGACUCACUGGCCCAAUACUGACGCUGAGGCGCGAAAGCGUGGGGAGCAAACAGGAUUAGAUACCCCAGUAGUCC